This 543-nucleotide ribosomal RNA is filed under the name uncultured bacterium. RNAcentral's name for it is "partial 16S ribosomal RNA". It matches the Rfam family "Bacterial small subunit ribosomal RNA", at positions 355 to 889 of the family's 1533-position model. The record is from RNAcentral.
UGGGGAAUUUUGGACAAUGGGCGAAAGCCUGAUCCAGCAAUGCCGCGUGUGUGAAGAAGGCCUUCGGGUUGUAAAGCACUUUUGUCCGGAAAGAAAUCCUUGGCUCUAAUACAGUCGGGGGAUGACGGUACCGGAAGAAUAAGCACCGGCUAACUACGUGCCAGCAGCCGCGGUAAUACGUAGGGUGCAAGCGUUAAUCGGAAUUACUGGGCGUAAAGCGUGCGCAGGCGGUUUGCUAAGACCGAUGUGAAAUCCCCGGGCUCAACCUGGGAACUGCAUUGGUGACUGGCAGGCUGGAGUAUGGCAGAGGGGGGUAGAAUUCCACGUGUAGCAGUGAAAUGCGUAGAGAUGUGGAGGAAUACCGAUGGCGAAGGCAGCCCCCUGGGCCAAUACUGACGCUCAUGCACGAAAGGCGUGGGGGAGCAAACAGGAUUAGAUACCCUGGUAGUCCACGCCCUAAACGACGUCAACUAGUUGUGGGGAUUCAUUUUCCUUAGUAACGUAGCUAACGCGUGAAGUUGACCGCCUGGGGAGUACGGUCGC